AGUUUUAAAGCACUACAAAAGAGUAGAAAUAAGACCACCCUUCAUCCAAUCCUUCCACCAGCUCUCAGAGCUCAUCUUAGAAGAGCCAGGGUCACAGCCAUUUGGGGGAAAGAAAUGGGAUCCUUGGUGCUGCCCGCCACCAGGCCUGCAGCAGCCCCACAGCCUUCCGUACCAACGACCAUGAUGUUGAAGUCGAAACCGGUCUUCAUGGUCUUCUUGCGCAUCUGCUCGAUGAUGGUGUCGAUGCCGAUGUAGCCCAGCAGAAUCAUACAAAGUUGGGCCUGGAAGGGAUCUUAGUAUCAUCCAGUCCAGGUCCCUCAUUUCAUAGACAAAGAGACUGAGGCCUGGAGGAGAAAGAACUCAACUAAGAACACAGAGCAGGUCAGAGGUAAAAUCUGGGCCAGUGCCAGGUUCUCUGGUUGCUGGGCACUUUCAAAUGCACCUCACUGCUCUGAAGCCCACAUCUGUGCAUCUAACCCAGGGGCUGCUCCAUCUUGGCACUAAUGACAUUUGAG
Molecule: long non-coding RNA, 515 nt
Organism: Homo sapiens (human)
Lineage: Eukaryota; Metazoa; Chordata; Mammalia; Primates; Hominidae
Source: Ensembl